RNAcentral lists this non-coding RNA (810 nucleotides) under Pan troglodytes (chimpanzee). The record is from RNAcentral. Lineage: Eukaryota; Metazoa; Chordata; Mammalia; Primates; Hominidae.
UGGCCUCCUGAGAAUCCGACAAGACGUAAAUAGCCAAGAAUAUCUGUGGAACUUAAUCACUGAGUUACAGUAUUUAUCACUGCAAGUGUGUUGUUCAUUGACACUAUAAAGCCAUGUGGAAUUAAGCAGCCUUGAAACACAAAAUGGAGAAAGGCUGAGAGCUGAGAAUUGUUGCCUUCAGGAAAAUACAAUCAAUGUCAAGCAAACAACCACCCCAAAAUGCCAGCCACCUCAAGAAAGAACAGUUCAUGUGCAGGUGACCAUGUAGUUCAAGUCAUCAUUAAAUCCAAAGCUGAGCAGCCAUGAUGCUAUUGGUGGAAUUGCCCUUGACCAAGAGAAAUCCAUCUUGAUUGUCUCAAUAAUCGGCUCAAGGGCCAUUGAUGAUGAGGUCCUAAAUUUAAUUCCUAAUAAAACCCCUAAAGUUUUAGAGGCAAAAUGAGAAAGCAUAGCUCACAAAUGCCUUGUGACCAAUGACUUGCCUAUUCAACGUGAAAAAGAUGAGGAUGAAGACCUUUAUUAUGAUCCACUUCCAAGUAAUGAACACACUGGAGAAAGUCAGACAGUCAAAACAAUGUCCCAGACUCCGUGAAGUUCCUGGGUAGAGAAGGAGACAGACAUAUACCAUACCUAAUAAUUGGAUGUCCGAGAGAAUGAGAGAAUGGCAGAAAGAACUUUAGAGCAUGGGUAUGAUGGCUAGAGCUUGAGCAGCCAUUGUGGACAUCAGAUGAACUUGAAAGUGAAAACUAUGAGCUGAAUACGACAAAGCAAACAGAUAGAAAACUGGAUUCAUUAUGACAUUGCAAAGCUGCC